UCUUACUUGAGAAAGGGUGGAACCCCUGGAAGAUGAGGUAAAAUGACAUAUCCUUGCAAUGAACGUGACAUGUCUUUUCUGUUUAAUUUUUUGUGCGCCAAAUCAGCUAAAUAUCAGCAUUUGCAUGACUGGAUCAUCACAAGAGCAGCAGAACUAAUGGUAAAAAUCAUUAGCGUCCAUUCAAAAAGCAUGAGCCUUUGGGAGGAGAAGGAAGCAGGAAGCUCCUGUAAGUGCCCAGCGGAUCACAGUCCUGCACACAUCCUUCCCUGAUAUGGCAUGCAGAAAGAGGGAUAUAGAGUGCAGGCAUGAAUCUCUUUUUUCACGUGAAAUGCUAAACUUUCUGAUUAU
RNAcentral lists this long non-coding RNA (348 nucleotides) under Phasianus colchicus (ring-necked pheasant). Its description in RNAcentral is "lncRNA (ENSPCLG00000003431.1)". Lineage: Eukaryota; Metazoa; Chordata; Aves; Galliformes; Phasianidae. The record is from RNAcentral.